GAUGAACGCUGGCGGCGUGCCUAAUACAUGCAAGUCGAGCGAACAGAUGAGGAGCUUGCUCCUCUGACGUUAGCGGCGGACGGGUGAGUAACACGUGGAUAACCUACCUAUAAGACUGGGAUAACUACGGGAAACCGGAGCUAAUACCGGAUAAUAUAUUGAACCGCAUGGUUCAAUAGUGAAAGACGGUUUUGCUGUCACUUAUAGAUGGAUCCGCGCCGCAUUAGCUAGUUGGUAAGGUAACGGCUUACCAAGGCAACGAUGCGUGGCCGACCUGAGAGGGUGAUCGGCCACACUGGAACUGAGACACGGUCCAGACUCCUACGGGAGGCAGCAGUAGGGAAUCUUCCGCAAUGGGCGAAAGCCUGACGGAGCAACGCCGCGUGAGUGAUGAAGGUCUUCGGAUCGUAAAACUCUGUUAUUAGGGAAGAACAAAUGUGUAAGUAACUAUGCACGUCUUGACGGUACCUAAUCAGAAAGCCACGGCUAACUACG
This 495-nucleotide ribosomal RNA is filed under the name uncultured bacterium. RNAcentral describes it as "partial 16S ribosomal RNA". It matches the Rfam family "Bacterial small subunit ribosomal RNA", at positions 28 to 505 of the family's 1533-position model. The record is from RNAcentral.